This 929-nucleotide ribosomal RNA is filed under the name Kushneria indalinina. Its description in RNAcentral is "bacterial SSU rRNA". It matches the Rfam family "Bacterial small subunit ribosomal RNA", at positions 56 to 986 of the family's 1533-position model. Lineage: Bacteria; Pseudomonadati; Pseudomonadota; Gammaproteobacteria; Oceanospirillales; Halomonadaceae. The record is from RNAcentral.
UGCAGUCGAGCGGUAACAGGGGUAGCUUGCUACCCGCUGACGAGCGGCGGACGGGUGAGUAAUGCAUGGGUAUCUGCCCGGUAGUGGGGGAUAACUCGGGGAAACCCGAGCUAAUACCGCAUACGUCCUACGGGAGAAAGCAGGGGAUCUUCGGACCUUGCGCUAUCGGAUGAGCCCAUGUCGGAUUAGCUUGUUGGUGAGGUAACGGCUCACCAAGGCCGCGAUCCGUAGCUGGUCUGAGAGGAUGAUCAGCCACACCGGGACUGAGACACGGCCCGGACUCCUACGGGAGGCAGCAGUGGGGAAUAUUGGACAAUGGGGGAAACCCUGAUCCAGCCAUGCCGCGUGUGUGAAGAAGGCCUUCGGGUUGUAAAGCACUUUCAGUGGGGAAGAAGGCAUGGUGGUUAAUAACCAUCAUGAAGGACAUCACCCACAGAAGAAGCACCGGCUAACUCCGUGCCAGCAGCCGCGGUAAUACGGAGGGUGCAAGCGUUAAUCGGAAUUACUGGGCGUAAAGGGCGCGUAGGCGGCUUGCCAAGCCGGAUGUGAAAGCCCCGGGCUCAACCCGGGAACGGCAUUCGGAACUGGCAGGCUAGAGUGCAGGAGAGGAAGGUGGAAUUCCCGGUGUAGCGGUGAAAUGCGUAGAGAUCGGGAGGAAUACCAGUGGCGAAGGCGGCCUUCUGGACUGACACUGACGCUGAGGCGCGAAAGCGUGGGUAGCAAACAGGAUUAGAUACCCUGGUAGUCCACGCCGUAAACGAUGUCGACCAGCCGUUGGACCCCUUGAGGGUUUGGGUGGGCGCAGUUAACGCAAUAAGUCGACCGCCUGGGGAGUACGGCCGCAAGGCUAAACUCAAUGAAUUGACGGGGCCGCACAGCGGUGGAGCAUGGUGGUUUAUUCGAUGCACGCGAGACUUACUGCUCUGACA